RNAcentral lists this ribosomal RNA (444 nucleotides) under uncultured bacterium. RNAcentral's name for it is "bacterial SSU rRNA". It matches the Rfam family "Bacterial small subunit ribosomal RNA", at positions 331 to 792 of the family's 1533-position model. The record is from RNAcentral.
CCAGACUCCUACGGGAGGCAGCAGUGGGGAAUAUUGCACAAUGGGGGAAACCCUGAUGCAGCGACGCCGCGUGAGUGAAGAAGUAUUUCGGUAUGUAAAGCUCUAUCAGCAGGGAAGAAAAUGACGGUACCUGAUUAAGAAGCCCCGGCUAACUACGUGCCAGCAGCCGCGGUAAUACGUAGGGGGCAAGCGUUAUCCGGAUUUACUGGGUGUAAAGGGAGCGUAGACGGCAGUGCAAGUCUGAAGUGAAAGCCCCGGGCUUAACCCGGGAAUUGCUUUGGAAACUGUACGGCUGGAGUGCCGGAGAGGUAAGCGGAAUUCCUAGUGUAGCGGUGAAAUGCGUAGAUAUUAGGAGGAGCACCAGUGGCGAAGGCGGCUUACUGGACAGUAACUGACGUUGAGGCUCGAAAGCGUGGGGAGCAAACAGGAUUAGAUACCCCCGUA